Molecule: ribosomal RNA, 477 nt
Filed under: Escherichia coli
Lineage: Bacteria; Pseudomonadati; Pseudomonadota; Gammaproteobacteria; Enterobacterales; Enterobacteriaceae
Description: bacterial SSU rRNA
Rfam family: Bacterial small subunit ribosomal RNA
Source: RNAcentral
UGCAGUCGUACAAGGUAUCCCAAGCUUGCUGUUUCGCUGACGAGUGGCGGAGGGAUAAUAAUGUCUGGGAAACUGCCUGAUGGAGGGGGAUAACUACUGGAAACGGUAGCUAAUACCGCAUAACGUCGCAAGACCAAAGAGGGGGACCUUCGGGCCUCUUGCCAUCGGAUGUGCCCAGAUGGGAUUAGCUAGUAGGUGGGGUAACGGCUCACCUAGGCGACGAUCCCUAGCUGGUCUGAGAGGAUGACCAGCCACACUGGAACUGAGACACGGUCCAGACUCCUACGGGAGGCAGCAGUGGGGAAUAUUGCACAAUGGGCGCAAGCCUGAUGCAGCCAUGCCGCGUGUAUGAAGAAGGCCUUCGGGUUGUAAAGUACUUUCAGCGGGGAGGAAGGGAGUAAAGUUAAUACCUUUGCUCAUUGACGUUACCCGCACAAGAAGCACCGGCUAACUCCGUGCCAGCAGCCGCGGUAAUAC